AGCUUGCUCCCGGAUGUUAGCGGCGGACGGGUGAGUAACACGUGGGUAACCUGCCUGUAAGACUGGGAUAACUCCGGGAAACCGGAGCUAAUACCGGAUAGUUCCUUGAACCGCAUGGUUCAAGGAUGAAAGACGGUUUCGGCUGUCACUUACAGAUGGACCCGCGGCGCAUUAGCUAGUUGGUGGGGUAAUGGCUCACCAAGGCGACGAUGCGUAGCCGACCUGAGAGGGUGAUCGGCCACACUGGGACUGAGACACGGCCCAGACUCCUACGGGAGGCAGCAGUAGGGAAUCUUCCGCAAUGGACGAAAGUCUGACGGAGCAACGCCGCGUGAGUGAUGAAGGUUUUCGGAUCGUAAAGCUCUGUUGUUAGGGAAGAACAAGUGCGAGAGUAACUGCUCGCACCUUGACGGUACCUAACCAGAAAGCCACGGCUAACUACGUGCCAGCAGCCGCGGUAAUACGUAGGUGGCAAGCGUUGUCCGGAAUUAUUGGGCGUAAAGGGCUCGCAGGCGGUUUCUUAAGUCUGAUGUGAAAGCCCCCGGCUC
Molecule: ribosomal RNA, 548 nt
Filed under: Bacillus subtilis group sp.
Lineage: Bacteria; Bacillati; Bacillota; Bacilli; Caryophanales; Bacillaceae
Description: bacterial SSU rRNA
Rfam family: Bacterial small subunit ribosomal RNA
Source: RNAcentral